RNAcentral lists this unclassified non-coding RNA (3238 nucleotides) under Hevea brasiliensis (rubber tree). Lineage: Eukaryota; Viridiplantae; Streptophyta; Magnoliopsida; Malpighiales; Euphorbiaceae. The record is from RNAcentral.
CUUCUAUACAGGCGCCACAUGACCCAAAGCAGCUCGAUGCCAGUCGCGUAAGUUAACGAGCGCAACUGCAGCAGAGGCGCGCAGAGCAAAAACAGAGAAAAACACACACUGAAAUACUUAGGAGAAUGAGAAAGUGAAGCAAAUCCCUGAUAAAAGUAGCAAUGUCGAUGAAGAAGAGAUCAAUGGGGUUGUUUUCUUGUGGACAAGGACUCAUAGAAGAAGGAGGAAGAGGAAUGGGAUGUCACGAAGACGAUGAGAUUGAGAAAUUCUCAACAGAUGAUAGAAGCUAUUUUAGCCUUACCGGUGAAAUUCUUCCUUCUCUCGGUAAGAGCGCUGUUUCUAAUCGCCGCCUCCAGCUCCGUCGCUUCAUUAUCUCUCCCUUCGAUCCCCGUUACAGAAUAUGGGACACUUUCCUGGUGUUUCUAGUUUUCUACACGGCAUGGGCGUCUCCUUUUGAAUUCGGAUUCCUUGAGAGGCCGACUGGUCCACUUGCUGUAAUUGAUAAUGUUGUUAAUGCAUUUUUUGCCGUCGACAUUGUUUUGACCUUCUUUGUGGCAUACCUCGAUAGAGUUACUUAUCUUCUCGUUGACGAGCCAAAGAAGAUUGCUUUCAGGUACGCAAAGACCUGGCUAGUCUUUGAUGUUGUCUCCACUAUUCCUUCGGAACUUGUUAGGUCGAUAUUGCCUGAUAGACUUCAGUCUUAUGGAUACUUUAGUAUGCUUCGUCUUUGGCGUCUCAGGAGAGUCAGUCGUUUUUUUGCAAGAUUGGAAAAACAUAGGAACUUUAGCUACUUUUGGGUACGGUGCUUGAAGCUCAUAUGUGUUACCCUCCUUGUAAUUAACAUUGCUGGUUGCUUUUACUAUCGUCUUGCUUUAUCUUAUUAUGACCCAGAAAAGACAUGGAUUGGGUCCGUAUGGAUACACUUUGAGAAGGAAAGCUUGUGGGCCCGUUAUGUGACAUCACUUUACUGGUCGAUAACCACGCUCACUACCACUGGCUAUGGUGAUCUGCAUGCAGUAAAUGAAAGAGAGAUGAUAUUUGUAAUGUGCUACAUGAUGUUUGAUCUUGGACUCACAUCAUAUUUAAUUGGAAAUAUGACCAACUUGGUUGUUCAUGCAACUAGUCGAACAAGGCAAUUUAGAGAUGCUAUCCAAGCUGCAUCAAGUUUUGCACAGAGGAACCGGCUACCUGUUCGUCUGCAAGAUCAGAUGCUUGCUCAUUUGAGUUUGAAGUACAGAACUGAUUCAGAGGGUCUGCAUCAGCAAGAGACAAUUGAUUCCCUUCCAAAGGCCAUUCGAUCAAGCAUUGCAAACUAUCUCUUCUAUAACUUUGUAAAUGAGGUGUACUUGUUUAAAGGGGUAUCAAAUGACUUACUUUUCCAACUGGUCGCGGAGAUGAAGCCUGAGUACUUUCCUCCCAGAGAAGAUGUGAUUUUACAGAAUGAAGCACCGACAGACAUGUACAUAUUGGUCACUGGUUCAGUGGAUCUUAUUGUGCCAAAGGGGCCAACAGAGCAGGCAAGUUUAUUUAUUUAAAUGCCUUUGAUAUUUUCUUCUCCAUUUCUGUCAGUCAUAUUGGCAAGUAGUAGUGGAACUGUGGAAUAUUUCUUACUAUAAGUAAUAUGAUGUUUCCCAUGUAAGAUAUCAGGCUGUUGGAGAGGCAAAGGCAGGAGAUGUUGUUGGUGAGAUUGGUUUGCUUUGUUACAGGCCACAAAUGUUCACAGUUCGGACCAAACGAUUAAGUCAGCUGUUGCGUCUGAACCGUACUGCAUUUUUAAAUAUUGUACAGUCAAGUGUUGGAGAUGGGACGAUAAUUAUGAACAAUCUUCUUCAGCAUUUGAAACAGUUGAACGAUCCAAUGAUGGAAGGAAUUUUGGCAGAAACAGAGCAUAUGUUGGCUCAUGGGAGAAUGGACCUGCCUCUUACUUUGUGCUUCGCGGCAAUGAGAGGUGAUGAUCUAUUGUUGCAUCAGUUGCUUAAACGGGAUUCAGAUCCAAAUGAGUUGGAUGACAAUGGGCGGACUGCAUUGCACAUUGCAGCUUCAAAUGGGAGUGAGCAUUGUGUAGUCCUCCUUCUAGAGUAUGGAGCUGAUCCUAACAAGAAAGAUUCAGAAGGCAAUGUUCCCCUUUGGGAAGCAUUACUGGGGAAGCAUGAAUCCGUUGUUAAACUUCUUGUAGACAAUGGUGCAACCAUAUCUUCUGGAGAUGUGGGUCAAUUCGCAUUGGCAGCCACUGAGCAAAAUAACUUGGAUUUGCUCAAGGAAAUUGUUAAUUAUGGAGGAGAUGUGACACUGCCCACAAGCAGUGGAACUAUAGCACUUCAUAAAGCAAUAUCUGAAGGAAACACAGAAAUAGUUAAGUUCCUUUUAGAUCAAGGAGCUGAUGUCGAUAUGCCAGAUGUUCAUGGAUGGACAGCAAGGGGUUUGACAAAUCAUCAGGGUCGCGAAGAAAUUCAAGCUUUGGUCCGAACAAGGCAAGAAAGGGAAAAAAAACUGGUUUCCACAGUGCUGCCGCAGCAGCAGCAGGGGAAGCCGCAUAUUGGGAAGCCUAUUGCAAAAUAUAGUAGGGAACCUGCAAUGCCUCGACCUUCAAACCAGGAUGUUGGUUCACCAGCCCCUGGAGUGAUAUUGGCAGAUAAUAGUCAGAGAAGAAGUGUUAACACUUUCCACAAUUCACUUUUUGGGAUCAUGUCAGCUGCUAAUACUGGUGAGCAUGAAAUAAUUGCGUCUCCAGGAGGGGCUGCUGGUGCUGGUUUUCCAAGUAUGAGCUAUCCAGCUAGAGUGACUAUUAGUUGCCCAGAAAAAGAUGAAGUUGACGGAAAGCUUAUUCUGUUGCCAAAGUCACUUCAAGAACUACUCGAUAUUGGUGCCAAAAAAUUUGGAUUCUUCCCCACCAAAAUUCUAAGCAAAGAAGGGGCCGAAAUUGAGGAUUUGGAGCUCAUCAGAGAUGGUGAUCAUCUCGUCCUUGUUAGCAAUGUAGGCACCAGAAUGUAAAAGAUGCUAUACAGGCGAAAGAGUUGGAGAUUGUGAUUUAAGUUUUGCCACAUGAUUACUUGUUGAAUAUGAGAACAUGUGGUAGUCCUUAAUCCUUAUCGUUAUGCUCUUUUCACUCUCUUCGUUUUCAUAAUUUAUCUCGGGUUUUGUUACAUUUUUUUUUUUAUGGAAUAUUAAUACCUUUGCAUAGAGGUCCAAGGAAGAGAUAUGCUUACAAUUUUAUUAAAUUAUUGUGCGUGUAUUCGUG